CAGCCGCCACGGGAAUACGAAGGGGGCUAGCGUUGUUCGGAAUUACUGGGCGUAAAGGGCGCGUAGGCGGCCAUUCAAGUUAGAUGUGAAAGCCCUGGGCUCAACCUAGGAAUUGCAUUUGAUACUGUUUGGCUUGAGUUCGGGAGAGGUGAGUGGAAUUCCCAGUGUAGAGGUGAAAUUCGUAGAUAUUGGGAAGAACACCAGUGGCGAAGGCGGCUCACUGGACCGACACUGACGCUGAGGCGCGAAAGCGUGGGGAGCAAACAGGAUUAGAUACCCCAGUAGUCCCUGUCUCUUAUAC
RNAcentral lists this ribosomal RNA (301 nucleotides) under uncultured bacterium. Its description in RNAcentral is "partial 16S ribosomal RNA". It matches the Rfam family "Bacterial small subunit ribosomal RNA", at positions 509 to 807 of the family's 1533-position model. The record is from RNAcentral.